This 876-nucleotide ribosomal RNA is filed under the name uncultured Nitrososphaerota archaeon. Its description in RNAcentral is "bacterial SSU rRNA". It matches the Rfam family "Archaeal small subunit ribosomal RNA", at positions 1 to 884 of the family's 1478-position model. Lineage: Archaea; Thermoproteati; Nitrososphaerota. The record is from RNAcentral.
UUCCGGUUGAUCCUGCCGGACCUGACUGCUAUCGGAUUGAUACUAAGCCAUGCGAGUCAUUGUAGCAAUACGAGGCAUACGGCUCAGUAACGCGUAGUCAACCUACCCUAUGGACGGAAAUAACCUCGGGAAACUGAGAAUAAUAUCCGAUAGAACAUUAUGCCUGGAAUGGUUUAUGUUCCAAAUGAUUUAUCGCCGUAGGAUGGGACUGCGGCCUAUCAGUUUGUUGGUGAGGUAAUGGCCUACUAAGACUAUUACAGGUACGGGCUUUGAGAGGAGUAGCCCGGAGAUGGGUACUGAGACACGGACCCAGGCCCUAUGGGGCGCAGCAGGCGAGAAAACUUUGCAAUGUGCGAAAGCACGACAAGGUUAAUCCGAGUGAUUUCUGCUAAAGAAAUCUUUUGUUAGUCCUAGAAACACUAACGAAUAAGGGGUGGGCAAGUUCUGGUGUCAGCCGCCGCGGUAAAACCAGCACCUCAAGUGGUCAGGAUGAUUAUUGGGCCUAAAGCAUCCGUAGCCGGCUCUGUAAGUCCUCGGUUAAAUCUGUACGCUUAACGUACAGGCUGCCGGGAAUACUGCAUAGCUAGGGAGUGGGAGAGGUAGACGGUACUCGGUAGGAAGGGGUAAAAUCCUUUGAUCUAUUGAUGACCACCUGUGGCGAAGGCGGUCUACCAGAACACGUCCGACGGUGAGGGAUGAAAGCUGGGGGAGCAAACCGGAUUAGAUACCCGGGUAGUCCCAGCUGUAAACUAUGCAAACUCAGUGAUGCAUUGGCUUGUGGCCAAUGCAGUGCUGCAGGGAAGCCGUUAAGUUUGCCGCCUGGGAAGUACGUACGCAAGUAUGAAACUUAAAGGAAUUGGCGGGGGAGCACCACAA